CUACGGUCUGCACACGCCCCGCACCCUGCACCGGGCGCUGCCUGCUCCUGCAGGUGGGACACAGCCCGCACAGGUCCGGGCGCAGAGUCACAACCUUUCACCGUUUGGGCUGAGCGCAGAGGGUUUGCGCUCGGCCACCAAGAACAGCGGCAGCCUGAGCCUGAGCCUGGAAGUGUGUGUGCUCCAGAGGGCAGAGCUGUAGAGCUGACCCAAGUGAAGGAGCCCAGAAGACCCUGAAUGAAUCCUAGCCAUUGGUGUUGAGUUAUUUAUACUUUUGGAGUUUGGUUUUGCCUCGAUUUGAUUGUGAGUGUGCCCUGGUUCUUCCCUCUUGCAGUAAGGAAGUACCUAAUUUAUUUUUUGAUUUAUAGGAGUCUCCAGCUGAGAGACUUUGAAUUUUAAAAGACUUUGGAUUGUAAAAGA
This is a long non-coding RNA of Meriones unguiculatus (Mongolian gerbil), 420 nucleotides long. RefSeq lists it as uncharacterized. The transcript is spliced from 2 exons. NCBI's taxonomy places the organism in Eukaryota, Metazoa, Chordata, Mammalia, Rodentia, Muridae. The record is from RefSeq and is a predicted model, not a curated record.